Molecule: long non-coding RNA, 307 nt
Organism: Oenanthe melanoleuca
Lineage: Eukaryota; Metazoa; Chordata; Aves; Passeriformes; Muscicapidae
Exons: 3
Source: RefSeq, a predicted model, not a curated record
UCCAGCAGAAAGGCUCAGGGACCUGCACCAAAACCUGAAGGAUGUAAUGAAGAGCCUUGGACAGCUCCUGUGUCUCUGUGGAGGCAGCCUGUUCAGCCCACAUGGCUCUACUUAUGGCAUGAAGGUAUGGAGGAGUCACAACAGGAAUAUCAAGAUUUUACCACCUUGAAGCACCUGUUUUUGUGUUAUGAUUUGAUGUGACAUCUACUUCAAACUUAGGGGAAAAAAAACCCACAGAUGUGGAAGCAAGGAAGUCUCCUUGGGUCUCACUGCACAACCACAGCCAAAGAAACCACAAGACAAUUCC